This 369-nucleotide ribosomal RNA is filed under the name uncultured bacterium. Its description in RNAcentral is "bacterial SSU rRNA". It matches the Rfam family "Bacterial small subunit ribosomal RNA", at positions 527 to 896 of the family's 1533-position model. The record is from RNAcentral.
GUAGGGUGCAAGCGUUAAUCGGAAUUACUGGGCGUAAAGCGUGCGCAGGCGGUGAUGUAAGACAGUUGUGAAAUCCCCGGGCUCAACCUGGGAACUGCAUCUGUGACUGCAUCGCUGGAGUGCGGCAGAGGGGGAUGGAAUUCCGCGUGUAGCAGUGAAAUGCGUAGAUAUGCGGAGGAACACCGAUGGCGAAGGCAAUCCCCUGGGCCUGCACUGACGCUCAUGCACGAAAGCGUGGGGAGCAAACAGGAUUAGAUACCCUGGUAGUCCACGCCCUAAACGAUGUCAACUGGUUGUUGGGUCUUCACUGACUCAGUAACGAAGCUAACGCGUGAAGUUGACCGCCUGGGGAGUACGGCCGCAAGGUUG